Molecule: ribosomal RNA, 554 nt
Filed under: hydrothermal vent metagenome
Description: SSU rRNA
Rfam family: Bacterial small subunit ribosomal RNA
Source: RNAcentral
AAUUAUGGAGAGUUUGAUCCUGGCUCAGAGUGAACGCUGGCGGCGUGCCUAACACAUGCAAGUCGAACGGUAACAGGAAGAAGCUUGCUUCUUUGCUGACGAGUGGCGCACGGGUGAGUAAGGUAUAGGUAACGUGCCCCCCAGAGAGGGAUAGCCACUGGAAACGGUGAUUAAUACCUCAUACUCCUUCUUAACACAAGUUAAGUUGGGAAAUGGGUUUCCGCUGGGGGAUCGGCCUAUAUGGUAUCAGGUAGUUGGUGGGGUAACGGCCUACCAAGCCAAUGACGCCUAGCUGGUUUGAGAGGAUGAUCAGCCACACUGGUACUGAGACACGGACCAGACUCCUACGGGAGGCAGCAGUGAGGAAUAUUGCACAAUGGAGGAAACUCUGAUGCAGCAACGCCGCGUGGAGGAUGACGCAUUUCGGUGUGUAAACUCCUUUUAUCAGGGAAGAAGAUGACGGUACCUGAUGAAUAAGCUCCGGCUAACUCCGUGCCAGCAGCCGCGGUAAUACGGGGGGAGCAAGCGUUACUCGGAAUCACUGGGCGUAAAGG